This 559-nucleotide ribosomal RNA is filed under the name uncultured bacterium. RNAcentral's name for it is "bacterial SSU rRNA". It matches the Rfam family "Bacterial small subunit ribosomal RNA", at positions 120 to 674 of the family's 1533-position model. The record is from RNAcentral.
GGGAAACUGCCCGAUGGAGGGGGAUAACUACUGGAGACGGUAGCUAAUACCGCAUAACGUCGCAAGACCAAAGUGGGGGACCUUCGGGCCUCACACCAUCGGAUGUGCCCAGAUGGGAUUAGCUAGUAGGUGGGGUAAUGGCUCACCUAGGCGACGAUCCCUAGCUGGUCUGAGAGGAUGACCAGCCACACUGGAACUGAGACACGGUCCAGACUCCUACGGGAGGCAGCAGUGGGGAAUAUUGCACAAUGGGCGCAAGCCUGAUGCAGCCAUGCCGCGUGUAUGAAGAAGGCCUUCGGGUUGUAAAGUACUUUCAGCGGGGAGGAAGGCGGUGAAGUUAAUAGCUUCACCGAUUGACGUUACCCGCAGAAGAAGCACCGGCUAACUCCGUGCCAGCAGCCGCGGUAAUACGGAGGGUGCAAGCGUUAAUCGGAAUUACUGGGCGUAAAGCGCACGCAGGCGGUCUGUCAAGUCGGAUGUGAAAUCCCCGGGCUUAACCUGGGAACUGCAUUCGAAACUGGCAGGCUAGAGUCUUGUAGAGGGGGGUAGAAUUCCAGGU